AAGUCGUAACAAGGUCUCCGUUGGUGAACCAGCGGAGGGAUCAUUAAAGAGUUCUAUAACUCCCAAACCCAUGUGAACAUACUUAACGUUGCCUCGGCAGGUCACGCCUACCUCGUAGUGCCCUACCCUGUAGGGCCUACCCGGGAGACGUGGUUCAGCCUGCCGGCGGCCUACCAAACUCUGUUUGAUAUUGAAUUCUGAACCUAUAACUAAAUAAGUUAAAACUUUCAACAACGGAUCUCUUGGUUCUG
This 251-nucleotide unclassified non-coding RNA is filed under the name Xylaria sp. RNAcentral's name for it is "partial internal transcribed spacer region". The stretch from base 1 to 46 matches the Rfam family "Eukaryotic small subunit ribosomal RNA", at positions 1786 to 1831 of the family's 1831-position model. The record is from RNAcentral. Lineage: Eukaryota; Fungi; Ascomycota; Sordariomycetes; Xylariales; Xylariaceae.